Long non-coding RNA from Uranotaenia lowii, 536 nucleotides. RefSeq lists it as uncharacterized. The record is from RefSeq and is a predicted model, not a curated record. The transcript is spliced from 3 exons. NCBI's taxonomy places the organism in Eukaryota, Metazoa, Arthropoda, Insecta, Diptera, Culicidae.
UCUAUAAUAAUUGAAUCGAUUAAAUUCUUGCUUUUCAGACCUUCAACUGCAGGAAUAAAUCAAGCUGGUCCACGAAAGUGAUGACGUCGCCUGGUUGGACGAUAUCAACAGUCGGAAAAGUCCCACGUAAAAACUGUCCCGCCGGAUUGGAUCAAGAUAGUUUCCUGUUGGAUGACGGAUAUCAAUGCUGAGCAGAUUGCUGUUUAUGGUUCGAAUAACAGAAAUUUAAGAUAGGGAAUUUUGACGAAAUUUCGUUUCAGUAAAUGAUUCCGAAAGCAGUGUAAGGUCAACUUCAACCUGUUCCACACCAUCCAUCAUGGGUUCAUCUAGCAGACGCCGAUGUCGGUGGGUUCCGAAACAGCGAGUCUUUCAUUUUAGGCGUCAUCGAAGGAAAAAUUCAAAGAUAAAGGACGAUGUUAGGUUUUUUUUUCCAAACGGCCGUGCUGGACGAUCUUUCUGAGGAUUCUUAGUACAAGAUACAGAUUUGGCUCCAGCGGAGAAAUAGUUGGUAAUUUUUGAAAAAAAAAUUGUGGUGG